GGAAGUAUGGCUCUAAUAGUAGAGCAUCUGCCUAGCAAGCUCAAGGCCCUGAGUUCAAACCCCAGUACCACCA
Molecule: transfer RNA, 73 nt
Filed under: Dipodomys ordii (Ord's kangaroo rat)
Lineage: Eukaryota; Metazoa; Chordata; Mammalia; Rodentia; Heteromyidae
Rfam family: tRNA
About the family: Transfer RNA (tRNA) molecules are approximately 80 nucleotides in length. Their secondary structure includes four short double-helical elements and three loops (D, anti-codon, and T loops).
Source: Rfam by way of RNAcentral